RNAcentral lists this ribosomal RNA (505 nucleotides) under uncultured bacterium. RNAcentral describes it as "partial 16S ribosomal RNA". It matches the Rfam family "Bacterial small subunit ribosomal RNA", at positions 28 to 507 of the family's 1533-position model. The record is from RNAcentral.
GACGAACGCUGGCGGCGUGCCUAAUCCAUGCAAGUCGAACGCACAGUUUAUACCGUAGCUUGCUACACCAUAGACUGUGAGUUGCGAACGAGUGAUUAACGCGUAGGUAACCUGCCUGGUAGCGGUGGAUAACUAUUGGAAACGAUAGCUAAUACCGCAUAAUAUUGAUUAUUGCAUGAUAAUUGAUUGACAUAUUCUAUUUCAUCACUACCAGCUCGACCUGGGUUGUAUUAGCUAGUAGGUGAGGUAACGGCUCACCUAGGCAAAGAUACAUAUCCGACCUGGGAGGGGGAUCGGCCACAAUGGGACUGGGAAAAGGGCCAGAAUCCUAAGGGAGGCAGCAGGAGGGAAUCUUCGGCAAUGGACGAAAGGCUGAACGAGCAAAGCCGCGGGAGUGAAGAAGGGUCUCGGAUCGUAAAGAUCUGUUGUAAGAGAAGAAAGGGUGUGAGAGUGGAAAGUGCACACUGUGACGGUAUCUUACCAGAAAGGGACGGCUAACUACGUG